CGGAGUUUCCAACGUGGGAGAGUCCUCGUGCAGUUGGGGCGGUGAACAUGGAGUGAGGGGUUUCUGCGUGCUUCAACUUCUAGCAAAGGUGGUGGUGGUUCUUGGUGCCACCGAGGGCUGAGUAGAGGAGAAAGGGCUGUUGUUUGGUUCCUCAAUCAUGGCUGAGGGAGCGAUGGGCAGUGCUGAUCCCCUUUGGCGUGGUCUCGAAAGAGAUGUGGCAACGUGAAGGGUUGGACAUGGGCGUGAAAUUUGAGGUGUAGGCUGGUUUUGAGGAAAGAGAGGAGUUGCGGCUUGCUUGCUGGAAACUCAUUGAAAAAAUUGACAUGUCUAUCAGGUAAGAAGAAAAAUAAGAUAAAAAUUUUGGGUGAGAAGCUACGGGGAGGAGAGAAAUACAGGGAGAAGUAGGGGUGUGCAUAUAUUUUUAUAACCCGCUUGACCCGCUUGACCCGAUCAAAUCCACCCGAUAAAGGUCGGGUUAUAAUUGAAGCGGGUCAUUUGAAAUGAUAUGCGGGCGAAACCGCAGCUGAAGAACAACCCGUGCUCUCUCACACACCUCAGUCCCGACUCCAUCUCCUUCGUCUUCAACCCUAGCCCCCCUCCCUCUCUCUCUCGACUUCUCUCUCACCAACGUGAUCUCUCUUUCUCUCGCUCUCUCUCUCUCUCUCUCUCUCACAGACGCUUGCGUGGGUCUCUCUCUCUCUCUCUUCGACCGCAGCUCCAAUAUCAGCUUCGGCGUGGGUCUCCAAGGAGAAUUUGAUCCCCAAUCAAGCUUUAUUUAUGUUGAUGAUGAGUGACUCAAGACUUAUGGUCUAUUCUAUAUUUGUUGUUAAAGAUUCCUGUUUGAGGACUGUUUAUUUAUAGUUCAUGAAUUUGUUUAAAAGGGCUGUAAUAUUUUUCAUUGAUAAUAUAUAUAUGGACGUUCUAUUCAUGUUUAUUGUUUAUGUUAUGGAUGGCCUAUGGGAUGUAAUGUAGUGGAUGAAUGAAUGAAUUUCUUAUAUU
Molecule: long non-coding RNA, 999 nt
Organism: Carya illinoinensis
Lineage: Eukaryota; Viridiplantae; Streptophyta; Magnoliopsida; Fagales; Juglandaceae
Exons: 2
Source: RefSeq, a predicted model, not a curated record